Pectinophora gossypiella (pink bollworm) is the source of this 1300-nucleotide long non-coding RNA. RefSeq lists it as uncharacterized. NCBI's taxonomy places the organism in Eukaryota, Metazoa, Arthropoda, Insecta, Lepidoptera, Gelechiidae. The record is from RefSeq and is a predicted model, not a curated record. The transcript has 2 exons.
UUCUUUCAGCCUCCGGAUUAGUUACAGGGGAUCCGUUUUAUAGCUUUUUUGUGUAGUAUUGAACACAGCGCCAUCUCGCCUUGUUCGAUGGAAGGUCCGUGAGCAUCGACUUGCUAUCGUUGGGCUCCGCAGUCGACGACUUUCCACCAGUAACCGGAAGAUGGCGUGUGCCGAUAUUAUACGGAAGGCUAUAUCUUGGAGUCCCUUGUCAAGUAGCUGCUGAAGAAUGUUGGUGUCAAUAUUUAAUACAAAAUUAUAUUUGGGAAUUUUCGGUCUGUCUCCUGUCCUUGGAGUUGUUAAUAACUUGCAUGUUGAGUGUGCGACGGCGGCGUCAUCUAACGGACGAUUGAGGUCGUACUAGCUUUGUCCGUGACGUAGGCGUUGAAUUGGGCGAUUUAUAUAGUCCUGCGCCUGCGAGCUGCCGCAUUCCCCAGACAGCGCUCCGCCGAGCGGGUGUGUCCACACCUUCGAUUUUUAGUGUGAAUUUCGGGUGAGAAUUUGUCUUUACAAUGCGUUAUAGCAUUUUAAUCGUAAUUAUCAGUGUCGAUAUAUGUUGUCAUUGUUUUUCUUUUAGGCGGUUUAUAAGCGUGUGACCGGUGGCCCGCAACUCCGUCGCACGCGCCGCCAAAUCUUCGUAAAUUUUUAUUCUGGUAAGUAAGUUAUACAUUUCUGUCAUCUGUCGUGACUCGUGAGUGUUAGUGUUUGCGGUCAGGAUUCUAAUGUGCGAUUUGUUCCGAAUAGGUGUGGUUUUGGUGUCCGUGGCGUGGACACGUUGCUCCGCCAUUUUGUCCCAGCGUCGUGGCAUCGACGUCAUCGUACGUUGGCCGCAUACGUGGCUUCUCGACCUCCGACAGGUGAGUCUUUUUAUACGAUUUUGGGGAGUUAGUUGGGUUGUGCCUCCGCCCCUAGAGGUUUGAUUUACCCCUGUGCGUUUUGUCCACAGGAGGUGUUUUGGGAAGGUGUUUUGGGGUGGCUGUUUUGCGAAGUUGUUUUGUGACGGCUGUUUUACGAAGGCUGUUCUGUUCUAUGACGGGUGUUUUGUACAGCUGUUCUGCUACUGCUACAGCUACAGCUUAUUGGUAGCUGCUUCUAGUCGGCUCGGCUUCCUUCCCGCCGCCGAGGGCAAACGAGCUAGGGAGGUUUUUAUAAUACCUUUCUUAUUUUUUUAAUAAUGCUUAACGAAUGACCAGUGGCCUUGAAUACCUGGAAUGUACCCUUAGGAUUUAAAAGUUCCAAAUACCUAUUUAUAUUUUUGUGUAACUUUGGUUUUCUUAGUGAUUAAUAAAUUCGAGUAAACCCA